UACAGAGGGGGCAAGCGUUGUUCGGAAUUACUGGGCGUAAAGGGCGCGUAGGCGGCCUGUUAAGUCGAACGUGAAAUCCCUGGGCUCAACCCAGGAACUGCGUCCGAUACUGGCAGGCUUGAAUUCGGGAGAGGGAUGUGGAAUUCCAGGUGUAGCGGUGAAAUGCGUAGAUAUCUGGAGGAACACCGGUGGCGAAGGCGGCAUCCUGGACCGAUAUUGACGUUGAGGCGCGAAAGCCAGGGGAGCAAACGGG
RNAcentral lists this ribosomal RNA (253 nucleotides) under uncultured bacterium. RNAcentral describes it as "partial 16S ribosomal RNA". It matches the Rfam family "Bacterial small subunit ribosomal RNA", at positions 524 to 776 of the family's 1533-position model. The record is from RNAcentral.